AAAAAGCUUGGUCCUGACUUUAUUGUCAGCUGGUACUGAAUUUACACAUGCAAGCAUCUACCCCCCUGUGAGAAUGCCCUCGAUCCCCUAAUUGGAAACGAGGAGCGGACAUCAGGCUCACCUGUAACGCCAGCCCAAAACGUCUUGCUCUGCCACACCCCCAAGGGAACUCAGCAGUGAUAAACAUUAAGCCAUGAGUGAAAACUCGACUUAGUGAAGGUAUUUAAGGGCCGGUAAAACUCGUGCCAGCCACCGCGGUUAUACGAGAGGCCCGAGUUGAUAAACACCGGCGUAAAGUGUGGUUAGGAAUUUUCCCUCUAAAGUAAAACACCCCCAGAACUGUUAUACGCUCCCGGGGGCAGGAAGCCCAACAACGAAAGUGACUUUAAACCUCCGACUCCACGACAGCUACGACACAAACUGGGAUUAGAUACCCCAUUAUGCCUGGCUAUAAACUUCGAUAGAACACUACAACCACUAUCCGCCCGGGAACUACGAGCGCUAGCUUAAAACCCAAAGGACUUGGCGGUGCUUCAGACCCCCCUAGAGGAGCCUGUCCUAGAACCGAUGACCCCCGUUCAACCUCACCACUUCUUGUUUUCUCCGCCUAUAUACCGCCGUCGCCAGCCUACCCUCUAAGGGACCCAAAGUAGGCAAAACAAGCACCCCUUAAAACGUCAGGUCGAGGUGUAGCCAAUGAAGUGGGAAGAGAUGGGCUACAUUCUCUGAAUUCAGAGAACCACGAAAGAGAUUUUGAAACAAACCCCCGAAGGCGGAUUUAGCAGUAAGCACGAAAGUAGCGAGUUCAGCUGAAACCGGCUCUGAAGCGCGUACACACCGCCCGUCACUCUCCCCGAAUACCCCACCUAACCCUACUUAAAAAGUUUUUCUCCCAAGGGGAGGCAAGUCGUAACAUGGUAAGUGUACCGGAAGGUGCACUUGGAAACA
Molecule: non-coding RNA, 948 nt
Rfam family: Bacterial small subunit ribosomal RNA